This 484-nucleotide ribosomal RNA is filed under the name uncultured bacterium. Its description in RNAcentral is "partial 16S ribosomal RNA". It matches the Rfam family "Bacterial small subunit ribosomal RNA", at positions 28 to 507 of the family's 1533-position model. The record is from RNAcentral.
AUUGAACGCUGGCGGCAUGCUUUACACAUGCAAGUCGAACGGCAGCGCGGGCUUCGGCCUGGCGGCGAGUGGCGAACGGGUGAGUAAUGCAUCGGAACGUGCCCAGUAGUGGGGGAUAGCCCGGCGAAAGCCGGAUUAAUACCGCAUACGACCUGAGGGUGAAAGCGGGGGACCGAAAGGCCUCGCGCUAUUGGAGCGGCCGAUGUCGGAUUAGCUAGUUGGUGGGGUAAAGGCUUACCAAGGCGACGAUCCGUAGCUGGUCUGAGAGGACGACCAGCCACACUGGGACUGAGCCACGGCCCAGACUCCUACGGGAGGCAGCAGUGGGGAAUUUUGGACAAUGGGGGCAACCCUGCUCCAGCCAUGCCGCGUGCGGGAAGAAGGCCUUCGGGUUGUAAACCGCUUUUGUUCGGGAAGAAAUCCUCUGGGCUAAUACCCCGGGGGGAUGACGGUACCGGAAGAAUAAGCACCGGCUAACUACGUG